UACGUAGGGGGCAAGCGUUGUCCGGAAUUAUUGGGCGUAAAGAGCGUGUAGGCGGCCAGAUAAGUCCGCUGUGAAAUCUCGAGGCUCAACUUCGAGCUGUCGGUGGAAACUGUCUGGCUAGAGUCCGGAAGAGGAGAAUGGAAUUCCUGGUGUAGCGGUGAAAUGCGCAGAUAUCAGGAAGAACACCCGUGGCGAAGGCGGUCCUCUGGGACGGUACUGACGCUGAGACGCGAAAGCGUGGGGAGCGAACAGG
Molecule: ribosomal RNA, 253 nt
Filed under: uncultured bacterium
Lineage: Bacteria
Description: partial 16S ribosomal RNA
Rfam family: Bacterial small subunit ribosomal RNA
Source: RNAcentral